RNAcentral lists this ribosomal RNA (463 nucleotides) under uncultured bacterium. RNAcentral's name for it is "partial 16S ribosomal RNA". It matches the Rfam family "Bacterial small subunit ribosomal RNA", at positions 28 to 507 of the family's 1533-position model. The record is from RNAcentral.
GACGAACGCUGGCGGCGUGCUUAACACAUGCAAGUCGAAUGGUGAACCUCUUCGGAGGGGAUCAGUGGCGAACGGGUGAGUAACACGUGGGCAACCUGCCCCCGGCUCUGGGAUAACUCCAAGAAAUUGGGGCUAAUACCGGAUGUUCACCGCUUCCCGCAUGGGUGGUGGUGGAAAGGGUUUCCGGCUGGGGAUGGGCCCGCGGCCUAUCAGCUUGUUGGUGGGGUAGUGGCCUACCAAGGCGACGACGGGUAGCCGGCCUGAGAGGGUGACCGGCCACACUGGGACUGAGACACGGCCCAGACUCCUACGGGAGGCAGCAGUGGGGAAUAUUGCGCAAUGGGCGGAAGCCUGACGCAGCGACGCCGCGUGGGGGAUGACGGUCUUCGGGUUGUAAACCUCCUUCAGCAGGGACGAAGCGCAAGUGACGGUACCUGCAGAAGAAGCACCGGCCAACUACGUG